RNAcentral lists this long non-coding RNA (2983 nucleotides) under Daucus carota (carrot). Its description in RNAcentral is "long non-coding RNA (DCAR_LNC001490)". The record is from RNAcentral. Lineage: Eukaryota; Viridiplantae; Streptophyta; Magnoliopsida; Apiales; Apiaceae.
UGGCAGAGCUGACAUUGGUUGAUAACGGCUUCCUGAAAUAUAUCCCAUCAAUAGUUGCAGCUUCAGCUGUAUUUUUAGCCAGAUGGACAUUAGAUCAAUCAAACCACCCAUGGGUUUGCUUUUAUUUUUUAUUCUUUCUACUUGUUUCAUUGCUUCAGGUUUAGUUGUGUUGGGUGUUUUGACCUGAAUUUGUAAACCAUGCAGAAUCCAACACUGGAGCAUUACACUUCCUACAUGGCAUCAGAUCUCAAAGCCGCAGUUCUUGAGUUGCAAAAUUUGCAAUUGAACACCAAGAAUAGCCCUCUCAUUGCUAUACGCGCAAAGUACCAACAAGACAAGGUAAGCUGAUCCCUGGUGCAUAGACAUUAGAUUAAAAUCUUUUGUAGUCAUUGUUAUGCACUGUUUCGCUUAUUUUACAGCUUUAUACCUUUACUUAUUCUAUCUCUGCGACAACAGUUUAAAUCAGUUGCACGUUUGUCUUCUCCGAAACUGCUGGAGACCCUAUUCUAACAAUGUGAUGGAGUGCUAACAGAUGCAACUACUCUUACCAUAUUGCGCAAGAAUGAUGUCUAUGAAUUUCUGCGUUUCGUCCUCCUCUUAGCGUUGGAGGGUUGUACUUAAAAGAGCUAAUCUAUAAAGUCUUUUGCAUGCUGCAUUCAUAAAUUGGUUCAAUGAGCCAUUUCUUUAGUUCAUUCGUUUCUGUUGAUAAAAUUAUUGACUCCUCUAGAGUUGGAGGUUUGGCGCUCACAAACCUAUCUUAUCAGUCUGUUUUGUAGCUGGAACCAAUUUGAAGCGCUGAUCACAGUAAGCUUAUUAUUAAUUAACUAGCUUCUUAACCCGUGCAAAGCACGGGUUGCUUUAAAUCAUUUUCUUCAAUAUAUGUUAUAUCUCGUUAUUUAUCUUUUUUUAUAUAUAUUUGUAUUUUAAAUCAUAGUAUGUUGAUGUCUGUAUAUACACAUAUCCUCACUUUUAUGAUAUUUAUUAAAAAUAUAAAUACAAAAAAUAUAUUAAAAUUCGGUUAAAUCAAUGACUAAUUGGUCGAAAAUUGGAUUAAUAGGGUCGAAAAUCAGGUAGAAUAUUAAAAAUUUACAAAAAUUUUUGGGAAAAUUUAAAAUUUUAAAAAUGAUUAUAUAUAUAUAUAUAUAUAUAUAUAUAUUAUUUUUACAUAUAUAAUAUUAAAUUAAUUUUGAAUAAUGAUCCUAUUAAUCAUUCUGAUUAAUCGUUGAUUUUCUGAUUCCCGCUUUUUACAACACUAAAUAUUUAUUUAUUUAUUAUUAAAUCAUAAUUAUAUAUGAUAUAUCCAAAAAAUUAUAAAAUAUACAUUUUUAUAAAAACAAAUAAACAUUAAGGCUUAACUUUCGUAGCCAAACAUAGCCCCAUAGAUACUUAAUUCCUACAUUAUACAUCAAGCCAGUCCAUUGACUGCAAUAUCAAAAUACAUAUUUUUAUAUAUAGAGAGGUCAUUAUUGACUUUUAAAACUAACGUAUUUUAUUAGACAUUAAUGUCCAAUCAUUAAUAUACAUUAAUUAUAACAUGAUUUUGGAAUUAAUUUAAUAUUAUACAUAUAAAUAAUAUAUAUCUAAUCAUUUUUAAAAUUUUUUAUUUUCCCAAUCUUUUCUUUUUUUUAUAGACGUACGUUCAAAUUUUGUGAAUGAAAAAUAUCUUCUUUUUUUUUUUUGAAACAAAGGUGUUAAUCUAAUAAUAGAAAGCCAUACGGCAUCUACACCAAUGAUCGAGUCGAACAAACUGAAUGUAUGUUGAGUAAAGGAUAGUUUAGUCAUUUUGGAUUAAAUUGAUCAAGAUUCGAUUUUACUGCUACAAGUAUGUGUCAGAUACUUAGAUAUAUAGAAUAAAAAAAAUAGUUACUGGGUAAUCACUGUUUCAGGCUUCUGGUCAUUAGCCCCUGUACCGGGAUGCUUGGCCAAACUGCUUCUUUUAUCAUCAACUACGGUAUAUAUUACAUGAUGUUUAAACACAAUUGGAAAUAUAACAUCUAAUUAUGUCAGCAGCCAAACUGCUUCUUUUAUCAUCAACUACAGUAUAUAUUACAUGAUGUUUAAACACAAUUGGAAAUAUAACAUCUCAUUAUGUCAGCAGCCAAACUGCUUCUUUUAUCAUCAACUACAGUAUAUAUUAGGGCUUUUUUCAUAAAUACCUAAGUUUAAAAAAAAAUUGCAAAAAUACUGUGACUUUUUAAAACAAAUUGUAAAAAUACUAUAAUUCAACAAAUAUUUGCAAAAAUACGGUGGUUGCAUAUGCAAUCAUAUCUACAACCGUUAGCAACCCCAUAUGCAACUACAAAUGCAACUUUGAAAAAAUCUAAUUAAAAAUUAUAGUUAUUUGCAUAAUGAGUUGCAAGUGGUUGCAAUUGGCGAAAAAUGAUGUGAGUGCCCCUACGGGGCCAACACUAAUAUAACUAUGAAAUCAACUAAAAGUAACCAUAAAAUCAAUUAAAAGCAACCAAUUAAAAACGAUUAUAAAAAGCUGCAACUUCACCUUAAUCACAGCUAGCCGCUAGGAUCCGGCUCACAAACAUCACCACAUCCAUUAACUAAACAACGUCACCUCCAACCACCACCAAUCCUCCGCCAGUGCCCAGACUUCUCCACCUCCUUAUGUUAUGAAAUCAAUUAAAAGCAGAUGUUCAAUUAACAAGAGAGAGAUAGAGAGAAAAAGUGUGAGAAAGGGGAAAGAGAGAGGAUAAUGAAAUCAAGAACCACCGCCGCCAUCCGCCGUCGUAGGGCUUCUCCACCGUGCCAAAGGUAGAGAGAAAGUGGAUAUAAAAGAUUGACUUUGUUACGAGUAAUUUCAGAAAGUCCGAAAACCCCAUUUUUCUGGCUUCGUAAAGCCUAUACGCAAAAAUGUAAACUUCUAAAUGUUUUUAGAAAAGAAGUCGUAUAUUUGCAAGGAUUAGAAGGUUAUAGUAUUUUUGCAAUAAUUAUGUUAAAAAGUAGUACAGUUGUUAAAUUCCCUAUAUAUUAC